AAACUAACAAGGAUUCCCCUAGUAACUGCGAGUGAAGCGGGAAAAGCUCAAAUUUAAAAUCUGGUAGCCUUUGGUUGCCCGAGUUGUAGUCUGGAGAAGCGUCUUCCGCGCUGGACCGUGUACAAGUCUCUUGGAACAGAGCGUCAUAGAGGGUGAGAAUCCCGUCUUUGACACGGACUACCAGUGCUUUGUGAUGCGCUCUCAAAGAGUCGAGUUGUUUGGGAAUGCAGCUCAAAAUGGGUGGUAAAUUCCAUCUAAAGCUAAAUAUUGGCGAGAGACCGAUAGCGAACAAGUACCGUGAGGGAAAGAUGAAAAGCACUUUGGAAAGAGAGUUAAACAGUACGUGAAAUUGCUGAAAGGGAAACGCUUGAAGUCAGUCGCGUCUUCUAGUACUCAGCCUUCCUUUUGGUUGGUGCAUUUACUAGUUGACGGGCCAGCAUCAGUUUUGGCUGCGGGAUAAAGGUUAGAGGAAUGUGGCACCUUCGGGUGUGUUAUAGCCUCUGGUCAUAUACCGUGGCUGGGACUGAGGAUCUCAGCACGCCUUUAUGGCGGGGGUUCGCCCACCUUCGUGCUUAGGAUGCUGGCGUAAUGGCUUUAACGAC
Molecule: ribosomal RNA, 602 nt
Filed under: Phanerochaetaceae sp. OTU72 TS-2013
Lineage: Eukaryota; Fungi; Basidiomycota; Agaricomycetes; Polyporales; Phanerochaetaceae
Description: eukaryotic LSU rRNA
Rfam family: Eukaryotic large subunit ribosomal RNA
Source: RNAcentral